Molecule: ribosomal RNA, 301 nt
Filed under: uncultured bacterium
Lineage: Bacteria
Description: partial 16S ribosomal RNA
Rfam family: Bacterial small subunit ribosomal RNA
Source: RNAcentral
CAGUCGCCGCGGUAAUGCGGAGGGAGCUAGCGUUGUUCGGAAUCACUGGGCGUAAAGCGCACGUAGGCGGCUAUUCAAGUCAGGGGUGAAAGCCCGGGGCUCAACCCCGGAACUGCCUUUGAAACUAGAUAGCUUGAAUCUUGGAGAGGCGAGUGGAAUUCCGAGUGUAGAGGUGAAAUUCGUAGAUAUUCGGAAGAACACCAGUGGCGAAGGCGACUCGCUGGACAAGUAUUGACGCUGAGGUGCGAAAGCGUGGGGAGCAAACAGGAUUAGAUACCCCAGUAGUCCCUGUCUCUUAUAC